GACGAAGGAUGCAAGCGUUAUCCGGAUUCAUUGGGUUUAAAGGGUGCGUAGGCGGCCCGAUAAGUCAGUGGUGAAAGCCUGUUGCUUAACAACAGAACUGCCAUUGAUACUGUCGGGCUUGAGUACAGAUGCUGUGGGCGGAAUAUGACAUGUAGUGGUGAAAUACAUAGAGAUGUCAUAGAACACCGAUUGCGAAGGCAGCUCACAAAAACUGUAACUGACGCUGAGGCACGAAAGUGCGGGGAUCAAACAGG
Molecule: ribosomal RNA, 254 nt
Filed under: uncultured bacterium
Lineage: Bacteria
Description: partial 16S ribosomal RNA
Rfam family: Bacterial small subunit ribosomal RNA
Source: RNAcentral